Molecule: non-coding RNA, 295 nt
Organism: Erinaceus europaeus (western European hedgehog)
Lineage: Eukaryota; Metazoa; Chordata; Mammalia; Eulipotyphla; Erinaceidae
Source: Rfam
AAACCCUGCAUGGAUGUGACAUCUGUCACCCCAUUGAUCGCCAGAUUGAUUUUGGUGAUCUGGCUGGCUAGGCAGGUGUCCCCUUCCUCCCUCACCGCUCCAUGUGCGUCCCUCCUGAAGCUGCACUUAGUUGACAAGGAUGACCUUCCCCGAAUAGAGACUGACCAGUCAAGGGUGUAGGAGUAGCUGUGCUCCCCGGCUAAAACCUUCAAACGACAACAACAACAAAAAAACCUGUAGUACUCAGAUUCACAUUUCAUAGCUCCCAUUUUAAAACCAAAUAUCUUGAUUCUUA